GACGUCGCGAGAAUUCCACCGAACCUUAUCAUUUAGAGGAAGGAGAAGUCGUAACAAGGUUUCCGUAGGUGAACCUGCGGAAGGAUCAUUG
Molecule: ribosomal RNA, 91 nt
Filed under: Melampodium dicoelocarpum
Lineage: Eukaryota; Viridiplantae; Streptophyta; Magnoliopsida; Asterales; Asteraceae
Description: partial 18S ribosomal RNA
Rfam family: Eukaryotic small subunit ribosomal RNA
Source: RNAcentral